ACAAUGGAGAGUUUGAUCCUGGCUCAGGAUGAACGCUAGCGGCAGGCUUAAUACAUGCAAGUCGAGGGGUAGCAAGAUUGUAGCAAUACAAUUGUUGACGACCGGCAAACGGGUGCGGAACACGUACACAACCUUCCUACAAGUGGGGAAUAGCCCAGAGAAAUUUGGAUUAAUACCCCGUAACAUAGCGAUGUGGCAUCACAUUGCUAUUAUAGCUUCGGCGCUUGUUGAUGGGUGUGCGGCUGAUUAGAUAGUUGGCGGGGUAACGGCCCACCAAGUCUACGAUCAGUAGCUGAUGUGAGAGCAUGAUCAGCCACACGGGCACUGAGACACGGGCCCGACUCCUACGGGAGGCAGCAGUAAGGAAUAUUGGACAAUGGACGCAAGUCUGAUCCAGCCAUGCCGCGUGAAGGAUUAAGGUCCUCUGGAUUGUAAACUUCUUUUAUAAGGGACGAAAAAAGGUCUUUCUAGAUCGUCUGACGGUACCUUAUGAAUAAGCACCGGCUAACUCCGUGCCAGCAGCCGCGGUAAUACGGAGGGUGCAAGCGUUAUCCGGAUUCACUGGGUUUAAAGGGUGCGUAGGCGGGCAGGUAAGUCAGUGGUGAAAUCCUAGAGCUCAACUCUAGAACUGCCAUUGAUACUAUCUGUCUUGAAUAUUGUGGAGGUAAGCGGAAUAUGUCAUGUAGCGGUGAAAUGCUUAGAUAUGACAUAGAACACCUAUUGCGAAGGCAGCUUACUACGCAUAUAUUGACGCUGAGGCACGAAAGCGUGGGGAUCAAACAGGAUUAGAUACCCUGGUAGUCCACGCCCUAAACGAUGGAUACUCGACAUACGCGAUACACUGUGUGUGUCUGAGCGAAAGCAUUAAGUAUCCCACCUG
This 880-nucleotide ribosomal RNA is filed under the name Sediminibacterium sp. Its description in RNAcentral is "bacterial SSU rRNA". It matches the Rfam family "Bacterial small subunit ribosomal RNA", at positions 1 to 875 of the family's 1533-position model. Lineage: Bacteria; Pseudomonadati; Bacteroidota; Chitinophagia; Chitinophagales; Chitinophagaceae. The record is from RNAcentral.